UACGGGGGGGGCAAGCGUUGUUCGGAAUUACUGGGCGUAAAGGGCUCGUAGGCGGCCAACUAAGUCGGACGUGAAAUCCCUCGGCUCAACCGGGGAACUGCGUCCGAUACUGGAUGGCUUGAAUCCGGGAGAGGGAUGCGGAAUUCCAGGUGUAGCGGUGAAAUGCGUAGAUAUCUGGAGGAACACCUGUGGCGAAGGCGGCAUCCUGGACCGGCAUUGACGCUGAGGAGCGAAAGCCAGGGGAGCAAACGGG
Molecule: ribosomal RNA, 253 nt
Filed under: uncultured bacterium
Lineage: Bacteria
Description: partial 16S ribosomal RNA
Rfam family: Bacterial small subunit ribosomal RNA
Source: RNAcentral